UCCUACCUACCGCACUAAUGGGAGCGCUGGAUGGGGGGCCUUUAAUGGGCUCAUUUGUUUGGAUGCCCCCAUCGGUUAGAUAUUUUCUAGGCCACAAAAAAAAGGUUGGUCGCAAAAUUAGAGAAGGUUGAGGCGGGCGUCUGGCAUGGAGGCGGAGGCAAAGGCGACCUGGGCGGCGGCGCCUGGCUCGGGAGCGGCGACUGCCGACGGGGGCUUCCCUGUAGAUCCGGUGUGCAGCGAAGGUUGCCAAUCUUCCCAGGCGUGGCGGUCUCGGCGGGUUCGGUCCAAGAUGAAGUCAGCGAUGGUGCUGGCUGGAGGAGACGUUGGGUUGUUGCCUCUUCUGUGGCUGCCCAUGACAGCUGUGCCGCCGGCGCUGCCGAAUGCAGUGGAGAGAGCGCCCCAGCGGAGUCGGGAGAGUCAGCUGUGAAACCUGAUCCGAAAUCUGUAGGCUGGAUAAGAAGGGUACGAGUGGGCGCAAAUCCGAUAGAGCGUAUGCCUUGCCCUGGCAGGAUGGGAGCGCUUGAGAAGACUAUCAGGGGCUUCGUGGACAGGGAGGGUGAUGAAGUAGUCAAGCCAGAGUUAGGGACCACUUUCGAUUCCCUGACAGAGGCUUAUGAUUUUUACAAUAUGUAUUCGUGGGAACAUGGCUUCGGCAUUAGAUACGGAAAAACCAGGCUAAAUCCUGAUAAGAGGAAGACCAUGUAGGAGAUUGUGUGCGGAUGCUCGGGGAAACCCCUUCGAGAAAAUACAAGAUCGUGUAGGUGCAAGUGCCCUGCAAUGAUUAGGCUGUCGAGGACAUCGGACAACGUGUGGUACAUCAUAGAGCAUCGUGUCAAGCAUAAUCAUGUCAUGACGCCAAAUUGUGGUGAAAUGUUGCACUGGCCGUCACACAAGCACAUUGACGUGCACACGAGAGACCUUGUUCGUAACCUAAGGAAGAACAACAUCAACCUGAGCAAGGUGUACAACAUAAUUGGAGGGUUCUUUGGGACAGUGGAGAAUGUGCCCUUUACGAAAAGAUCUCUUCGGAGCCUGUGUGGGCAAAUUAGCAGGGACGAGGCAGAGGACGACGUGAGGAAUACAAGUUUUCGAUGAACUAGGUGCAAAGGACCCGGCUAAAUGGCCCAACUCCGCGAUGGACAGCCCUCUUAAACACCGUAACGGGAGGACCGUACUGGACCUUGCCCCCCUGGGCCUCAUCAAUGACUACAGACAACACACUCAUGCACUGUUCAAAAAAGCCUGCACUAAUCGAAUACAUGGGCCAAUACAUUCAUGAGCUCGAAUCUCCAGGAGGACCAACCGCUGGGAUAAUAGUACCAUAUGCCAGUACGACCCAUAUGUAAUUUUCGUAUUUGUUGACAUAUAAACAAACUAUUGAGACGAUAACGUUCUAAAAGCAUGUAGUCAAACUUUUGUAAGAUUAGUGCUCUAACCAGCU
This is a long non-coding RNA of Triticum aestivum (bread wheat), 1441 nucleotides long. RefSeq lists it as uncharacterized. The transcript is spliced from 4 exons. The record is from RefSeq and is a predicted model, not a curated record. NCBI's taxonomy places the organism in Eukaryota, Viridiplantae, Streptophyta, Magnoliopsida, Poales, Poaceae.